ACACAGGAAGUCAGGAAACCCAGGGGGCAGAGGAGCCACAACUUCGGGCCAUUUAAACCCUCUCGCCCACGUCAGCCAAUAGGCUGCGCCGGCCCCCUCCCCCCCGGCGCCUACCCCCGCGCCCAGAGCCCCUCGCUGCGCGCCCGACCUCCCUUCGCGCGCACCUCGGCGGCGCCGCCGCCGCCGCGCCUCCCGCACACGCCUCCCCCCGACUCCACCGCCCUCGGCGGGCACAGCCCGGCCCCGGCGCGCCUUUGUGCAGCGCCUCGCUAACCUGCCCUCCGUCCGCCAGGACCCGCGCCCUGCACCUCACCGGGAGCCCGGCGGCCUCGCAGCAGGCGGCUCCCUCCUUAGUCCGCCCCGCGGCUGCGGGUUGGCGACGCGAGCCCGAAGAGCGUUCACACGGCGACGGCCGCGGCCGGCCAGUCCCCGCAGGCUGGCCUCUGAGGGAGGAGUUUUGCUCGUUGUCCAGGUUGGAGUGCAAUGGCGCGAUCUCAGCGCACCGCAACCUCUACCUUCCAGGUUCAAGCAAUUCUCCUGCCUCAGCCUCCUGAGUAGGUGGGAUUACAGAGUUUUGCUCUUGUUGCCCAGGCUGGAGUGCAAUGGCACGAUCUCGGCUCACCGCAACCUCCGCUUCCCAGGUUCAAGUGAUUCUUCUGCCUCAGCCUUCCGAGUAGCUGAGAUUACAGGCAUGUGCCACCAUGCCCAGCUAAUUUUUUGUAUUGCUACUAGAGACGAGGUUUUGCCAUGUUGGUUCAGGCUAGUCUCCAACUCCCGACGUCAGGUGAUCAGCCCACCUCGGCCUCCCAAAGUGCUGGGAUUAUAGGUGUGAGCCACCACACUCAGCCAGAACUUACUUUCAAUUGGUUGAAAAAUAUAAAAAGAGAAAUAAAGCAUCCAUGGCAAAAUAUUAACAAUUGAUUAAUCUAGAUGAAAGGCUUAUGUAUGUUCAUUGUUCAGUUUUCUCAAAUUUUAGUUAAGCUUCAAAAUUUUUAAAAUAAAAACUUGGGAG
Symphalangus syndactylus (siamang) is the source of this 1012-nucleotide long non-coding RNA. RefSeq lists it as uncharacterized. NCBI's taxonomy places the organism in Eukaryota, Metazoa, Chordata, Mammalia, Primates, Hylobatidae. The record is from RefSeq and is a predicted model, not a curated record.